Molecule: ribosomal RNA, 497 nt
Filed under: uncultured bacterium
Lineage: Bacteria
Description: partial 16S ribosomal RNA
Rfam family: Bacterial small subunit ribosomal RNA
Source: RNAcentral
GAUGAACGCUGGCGGCGUGCCUAAUACAUGCAAGUCGAGCGAACAGACGAGGAGCUUUCUCCUCUGACGUUAGCGUCGGACGGGUGAGUAACACGUGUAUAACCUACCUUUAUGACUGGGAUAACUUCGUGAAACCGGUGCUUAUACCGGAUAAUAUUUUCAACCGCAUGGUUCAAUAGUUUAAGACGUUUUUGCUUUCACUUUUCGAUGGUUCCGGGGCGGAUUAGCUAGUUGGUAAGGUAACGGCUUACCAAGGCAACGAUGCGUAGCCGACCUGAGAGGGUGAUCGGCCACACUGGAACUGAGACACGGUCCAGACUCCUACGGGAGGCAGCAGUAGGGAAUAUUGCGCAAUGGGCGAAAGCCUGACGGAGCAAUGCCGCGUGAGUGAAGAAGGUCUUCGGAUCGUAAAACUCUGUUAUUAGGGAAGAAAAAAGGAGAAAGUAAAUAUGCACGUAUUGACGGUACCUAAAGAGAAAGCAACGGCUAACUACGUG